Molecule: ribosomal RNA, 631 nt
Filed under: uncultured fungus
Lineage: Eukaryota; Fungi
Description: eukaryotic LSU rRNA
Rfam family: Eukaryotic large subunit ribosomal RNA
Source: RNAcentral
CCCGCUGAACUUAAGCAUAUCAAUAAGCGGAGGAAAAGAAACUAACAAGGAUUCCCCUAGUAACUGCGAGUGAAGCGGGAAAAGCUCAAAUUUAAAAUCUGGCGGUCUCGCGGCCGUCCGAGUUGUAAUCUGGAGAAGCGUCUAUCCGCGUCGGACCGUGUACAAGUCUUCUGGAAGGGAGCGUCGUAGAGGGUGAGAAUCCCGUCUUUGACACGGACAACCGAUGCUUUUGUGAUGCGCUCUCGAAGAGUCGAGUUGUUUGGGAAUGCAGCUCAAAAUGGGUGGUAAAUUCCAUCUAAAGCUAAAUAUUGGCGAGAGACCGAUAGCGAACAAGUACCGUGAGGGAAAGAUGAAAAGCACUUUGGAAAGAGAGUUAAACAGUACGUGAAAUUGUUGAAAGGGAAACGUUUGCAACCAGACUUGCGUGCAGUUGAUCAUCCAAUGUUUUCACUGGUGCACUCAAUUGUAUUCAGGCCAGCAUCGGUUUUGGUGGUUGGAUAAAGGCCUUGGGAAUGUAGCUUCCAUUGGGAGUAUUAUAGCCCUUGGUGCAAUGCAUCCUACUAGGACCGAGGACCGCGCUCCGGCUAGGAUGCUGGCAUAAUGGUUGUAAACGACCCGUCUUGAAACACGG